GAUCAUUAAUGAGUUAUUUAACUCCCGAACCACUGUGAACUUAC
Molecule: ribosomal RNA, 44 nt
Filed under: Eutypa spinosa
Lineage: Eukaryota; Fungi; Ascomycota; Sordariomycetes; Xylariales; Diatrypaceae
Description: partial 18S ribosomal RNA
Source: RNAcentral